CACCGCGGUUAAACGGGAGACUCAAGUUGAAAGACAGCGGCGUAAAGCGUGGUUAAGACACUUGCUAAAUAGGGCCGAAUGACCUCAAAACAGUCAAAUCUAUUCGAGACCACGAAGCACAUCUACGAAGGUGGCCCUAAUGCCUCUGACCCCACGAAAGCCAUAACA
Molecule: ribosomal RNA, 168 nt
Filed under: Coryphaenoides yaquinae
Lineage: Eukaryota; Metazoa; Chordata; Actinopteri; Gadiformes; Macrouridae
Also listed under: 1 other name
Description: partial small subunit ribosomal RNA
Source: RNAcentral